CACGUAAGUUGCGAGCGUUGUUCGGAAUUAUUGGGCGUAAAGGGCAUGUAGGCGGUUUGGCAAGCUUGGUGUGAAAUCCCAGAGCUCAACUCUGGAACUGCAUUGAGAACUGCUAGACUAGAAUUACUAAGGGGCAACUAGAAUUCCAAGUGUAGGGGUGAAAUCUGUAGAUAUUUGGAAGAAUACCAAUGGCGAAGGCAAGUUGCUGGUAGAUAAUUGACGCUGAGGUGCGAAAGUGCGGGGAUCAAACAGGAUUAGAUACCCUGGUAGUCCGCACAGUAAACGAUGUACACUAGGUGUUUGGUCAUGAGACUGGGUGCCAAAGCAAACGUGAUAAGUGUACCGCCUGGGGAGUAUGCUCGCAAGGGUGAAACUCAAAGGAAUUGACGGGGGCCCGCACAAGCGGUGGAGCAUGUGGUUUAAUUCGAUGGUACGCGAGGAACCUUACCUGGGCUUGACAUAUAGAGGAAUGAGUAAGAGAUUAUUCAGCGUAGUAAUACGUCUUUAUACAGGUGCUGCAUGGCU
Molecule: ribosomal RNA, 525 nt
Filed under: uncultured bacterium
Lineage: Bacteria
Description: bacterial SSU rRNA
Rfam family: Bacterial small subunit ribosomal RNA
Source: RNAcentral